UCAUUAUAUGCUUGUCUCAAAGAUUAAGCCAUGCAUGCUCUGCCAAACUGAAUGAUCAGAAAAGCUGCGAACGGCUCAUUAAACCAGUCAUCAUCUGCCACAGUCAUAACCCCACGGUGACGUGAUAGUGAUAACCAUGGUAAUUCUAUGGAUAAUCACAAAAAUCGACACUUCUGUCUUGACAGCAACCAGUCUUGAUCGUUGUGAUGAAUUUCUGCCCUAUCAAGUAGACGGUAGGGUAGUGGCCUACGGUGCUUUUUACGGGUAACGGGGAAUAAGGGUUCGAUUCCGGAGAGGGAGCAUGAGAAACGGCUACCACUUCCAAGGAAGGCAGCAGGCGCGUAAAUUACCCAAUCGUCAUAGACGGAGGUAGUGACAAGAAAUAACGAAACGGUGCAGUAUCUGUACCGCUUUCGGAAUGAGUGCAAUCUAAAUCACUCAACAAGGAACAAUUGGAGGGCAAGUCUGGUGCCAGCAGCCGCGGUAAUUCCAGCUCCAAUAGCAUAUAUGAAUGUUGCUGCAGUUAAAAAGUUCGUAGUCGUAAUGGAUGAUGGUACACUGAACCACGUUGUUCUGUUGCCGUUGCCGAACCGCAGAGCUGCAAGGUCGGUGUCUCGUUAAUGUGUGUGAAAACCUCAUUAAUCGUGUACCGUGAGCAAAUCAAAGCGAUUCAAGCACGUUAUCAGAAUGAUGAAGCAUGGUCCACUGUCCAGGACCCUUGGCGAAAGCUUAGAGGGAUCCAUUUAAAUAGGGACGUGUAUAAUCAGGGACACUAGUAUUGGGC
Molecule: ribosomal RNA, 784 nt
Filed under: uncultured eukaryote
Lineage: Eukaryota
Description: bacterial SSU rRNA
Rfam family: Eukaryotic small subunit ribosomal RNA
Source: RNAcentral